This is a long non-coding RNA of Ostrinia nubilalis (European corn borer), 2335 nucleotides long. RefSeq lists it as uncharacterized. Lineage: Eukaryota; Metazoa; Arthropoda; Insecta; Lepidoptera; Crambidae. The transcript is spliced from 2 exons. The record is from RefSeq and is a predicted model, not a curated record.
GAGGGAAGCAGCUCAUUGUUGGCAGUGGUGUGGACCGCGACCAUUGUGCUGAGCUUCUACGGAGCAUUCAUGCUUUACCGCGGAUUUAUACGAUGCCUCCGAAGCAGGAAAAUGAAGACCAUUACGAAAGUGUAAGCUGCUAGAAGCGACAAUGCGUGGUAACCUUCUUGCAAGACUCGUCCGCUGUCGUCAGCGACCGGGGUCUAACUGCUUCGUCGUCUAUUUUACUCUCCAGCAUAGAGAUAAUAGCCGCUGGACAAGAAAAUCAAUUGAAACAUGUAACUUUUAUUGAAUAUUAACAUCUAGCGGUUACUAAGUCUAUGCCCUCUAGUCUCCAAUCGUCACGGUUGAGUUUGUCGUUAGUCAAUUGUUGAUUUUUAUCCAUUUCUAUUGGGAACCAAAGAGUUAUUAUUAAGUGAUGUUACUUAGUUUGGGUAUUUAUUAUUACAACAAUUAAGUUUUGGCGUAAUGUCGGUUGCUACUUAAAUCCCUACCCUGAUUGUCCCCUUUUCAUAAAUAAAAUUAUUAAUCAAUAGGUAGGUAUUUGUUUACCCACUAUAACGUAAUAAUUUCUUACUCCUAUCCCAACUUUACGUCUAAGCUCUGAAAUGCUUGGCGCUAUGUUAAGCUGAUUAGUACGUAGAUUUGAAAUAACAGUACACAUGAUUUGAGUCUUGUUCCUGACAUUUAGAAUGGGACAUUUUUGUUAGAGAUCUGUUAUGGGAGUGGAAAAGUUAGGAUAGUCGGCAAUCAAGUCACUUUUGGCGUGUUGCUGUAGGAUAAGAUUGUUUUAUCCCCCGUUAGGAGAACAUAAUCCAAGUGUUAGGAAUGUGCUUCUGUUAGAUGCCCAUAGCGGAUUGAACCACGGGGUAAAUCAUUCAUCUCAGUGUAAUAUAAAAAAAUAUCGACAGAUAUUAUAAGAUAGUGGUUUUAACAUUUUUACAGCAAACAGUCUGUCCGCAGGAGUGCUUCCAUGUUUUUAUAUUAAUAAAGCAUAUUUUGACGGUUUUUAUGACAUAUCUGGGCAGUCGGCGGGCUUUUGGAAUGAUGUUGGGUGUGCUCGGCACUGAGACUAGACCAAUCGUUUACUUUUUCAUUCAAAAAUACGAUAAAAGGCGAAUUAUAUUAUGAACUUUAACGGUGUUAAAGAAUACGAACAUUGGGUGGUCCAAUGAGUGGAUUAUUGUCAUGGACUGAGUCAGAGCACAGCCGUCCAUUUUAAUUGAACAUCUGCCUGAAGUCAAACUAUUAACUACAUAAACUUCUAAAAUGAAUACUCUAACAAUGAUUUUAGGGAACGGUCGAGAGCUAGACAUAGCGAUUCGUCAGCUGUAAUUUCUUGAAUGUGUUACAAACAGUUUUCAAAGUAUAUUUUGGAGAAAGCAAAAAACUAUUUUUCUAAUUUUACGUGUUCACACUAUUUUGAUAAGACUUUUAGUUUCAGGGAGUGUUUGCACAAGGCAACUGUUUAUGGACGUUUAUGUAUUCGUUAGUCAUUAGUUGGCUAUUUAAUUAGCAUAUUUUACAAUUAUUUUACAUGAUUUAGGAACGGCUAAGGAAAGAACUGCCAACAUUGAGUCUUGCAGAGCUGCGCUCUGGCGACCAAGUAAGACGUGACACAUCAUGCCACAUAUCAAACUUAAAUAUUUAAACAAAUCUCGUAAUCUCAAAGCGAAAGAUUGCAUUAGAGUUAAACUGUAUUAUUAAUUCUAUUGCAGCCUUUCUGACGCUUAAGUAUCAUCCAAGUAGAGCUUUGGCGCACAAACUACGUAUUUUACGAAUAGAUUGUAAGACCUAUAUUAAAAUGAUCAUACAGUUUGGAGAUAAUAAUCGUGUAUAACACUUUUUUGUAGAUUUUGCAUUUAAGCCCAUGUAUUGUGACAAGUAUAUAAUUAAUAAUGUGAGUGUGUUCUACGUCUCCUCGAUUUCCAUUCAUAAUUUCCUUUCUUUUUUGAGGCUUUCUAUCGUCUUUCAAUUUCGAUAUAUUAAUAAGUAAUCUAAAUCAUUGACACUAUUAUCUGUCUUACUACGAUCGCUUUUUACAUGCAUAUUAUAAAUUUCUAUGGAUAUUGUUAUACUAUUUUAUUGAAAAGUGUAAUUCUUUAGCUACUUCUCGUUCCUUCUCGACAAUAUACUAUAAUUUAAGGUACUAUGACUGUAAUAUCUCUGUCCCUUCUGUGUCUCGUCUUUCGUCACUAUACUUUGACCCUUGAUGUAUUUGUAACCAUAUAUCAUUAUGCCAUUACAAGAUAUUGAUGUGAAACAUGAUAGUUAAGGAAUCGUGUUAGACAAUACAAUAUUUGAUAUUUAAUAAAAUUUGAUUGUGUUUUUAUAA